AGAAUCAACGCUGGCGGCGUGCCUAACACAUGCAAGUCGAACGCGAAAGUCCCGAAAGGGAUAAGUAGAGUGGCAAACGGGUGAGUAACACGUGGGUGACCUGCCUUCGAGUGGGGGAUAACGUCCCGAAAGGGACGCUAAUACCGCAUAACAUCCCGCCUUUGAACAGGUGGAGAUCAAAGCUGGGGAUCGCAAGACCUAGCGCUGGAAGAGGGGCCCGCGCCUGAUUAGCUAGUUGGUGGGGUAACGGCUCACCAAGGCGACGAUCAGUA
Molecule: ribosomal RNA, 272 nt
Filed under: uncultured bacterium
Lineage: Bacteria
Description: partial small subunit ribosomal RNA
Rfam family: Bacterial small subunit ribosomal RNA
Source: RNAcentral